Pteropus vampyrus (large flying fox) is the source of this 101-nucleotide small nuclear RNA. The record is from Ensembl. NCBI's taxonomy places the organism in Eukaryota, Metazoa, Chordata, Mammalia, Chiroptera, Pteropodidae.
UUGCUUUCGCAGCACAUAUACUAAAAUUGGAGUGACACAGAAGAUUAGCAUAACCCCUGCAAAAGGAUGACACACAAAUUCGUGAAGUGUUCCAUAUUUUU